Molecule: ribosomal RNA, 496 nt
Filed under: uncultured bacterium
Lineage: Bacteria
Description: partial 16S ribosomal RNA
Rfam family: Bacterial small subunit ribosomal RNA
Source: RNAcentral
GAUGAACGCUGGCGGCGUGCCUAAUACAUGCAAGUCGAGCGAACAGACGAGGAGCUUGCUCCUCUGACGUUAGCGGCGGACGGGUGAGUAACACGUGGAUAACCUACCUAUAAGACUGGGAUAACUUCGGGAAACCGGAGCUAAUACCGGAUAAUAUAUUGAACCGCAUGGUUCAAUAGUGAAAGACGGUUUUGCUGUCACUUAUAGAUGGAUCCGCGCCGCAUUAGCUAGUUGGUAAGGUAACGGCUUCCAAGGCAACGAUGCGUAGCCGACCUGAGAGGGUGAUCGGCCACACUGGAACUGAGACACGGUCCAGACUCCUACGGGAGGCAGCAGUAGGGAAUCUUCCGCAAUGGGCGAAAGCCUGACGGAGCAACGCCGCGUGAGUGAUGAAGGUCUUCGGAUCGUAAAACUCUGUUAUUAGGGAAGAACAAAUGUGUAAGUAACUAUGCACGUCUUGACGGUACCCAAUCAGAAAGCCACGGCUAACUACGUG